AGUUCAUUUCCUCCUCAGCCUCACACCUGCUGUGCCUUUGGCUUGGAGCAGCUCCCUCUUCGACCCCACACCCACCUUGUCCACCUGGAAAACUUCGAAUCACCCCCAAUCCCAGCUGUACCCCCUCAUCUUGAUGAGUCCUUCUCAGGUGGAGUGAGGGACUCUUCUUGAAAACAGCAGGCUCACUCCCACCUCCAGGCCUAUGCAGCUGCUACACACUGUUCCCUCUGCCACCAAUGUCCUCUUCCUCUUCUACCAAUAAGCUGUAGGUCAUCUUUAACACACGGUUCACAGGCCACCUCCUCUGUAAAGCCCUCCUUGACUCUCUACCCCAACAACAUCAGUAUUUUCCUCCUCUGAGCUGCCCCAGGCCCCACAUCCCCGUUUGCCACAGCCCUGAUCACCUCAAGCUGUGACCAUCUGUGUCUGUAGCACCUCCCCCUCCUAGUCCUGGAGGCCCUUCAGGUAGAAACAGGGUCUGACUCAUGAGGGAGCUUUGCUCAAGUGAGCCCUGCAUGUCCUCACUUGAGCAAACACCUCCUGGUACCCUUCCUGAGCCGUCUCCUGAGCUACCCAAGGCUGGAAACCCUGGUGCCAGUGGUACCAAGCCCCUAGCCUCAGGCUCCCAGCCUAGCUAGGGAGAAACAGCCAAAUACACAGAGGAAUGUGUGCAGAGCUCACACAACUCUCUCUUCUAAGCUCUAAGGGUUAGCGUGAUGUGGGCAGACAAGGAAACUGAGGCAGGGGCAGGGAAGACUUUGCUUCUAGGAGGGAAGCUGGGAUUCCUAUAAGACCCCCACCUCCCCACCAUGGCUUCCUGUUGCUUUGGAGCCCUUCUUAUGGAGACAUUCCCUGGCACUCUCUUCCAUGGCAGCACCUAAAUGGGAGAACAUCCGGGGUCAAGCAUGAACUGCACUGCGUUGUCUUUAUGAAAGAGAAACAAAAACUCAGGACCCCAAUUCACUGUGACAGAAGGAAAAAAAAAAAACUGGAAGCUGAGUCAUGCAAGAAACUGCCUUUCCUUUUGUUCCUAAGCAGACAGCUACAGAGAAAAGGCCUUCGUGUACUGACCAGAGGAGCAAAAAUGAAUAAAAGGAUUACAACAUGAGGCUGACAUUGCUGUGCGCCUAUAUCCUUGAGUGCUGGUGGCCCCAUGGAUUAGAUCAACACCUUGGAAGCUAAUUUGACACUAGACCAACAAAGUCCUUUGACCUGGAGUUUCACUUUGGCAAAAAAUAAUAAAUAAAUAAAUAAAUAAAAUCCCUAAAGUGUAUAAAGAGAAAGGAAGUUGUGAUAUUUGGAAAUUGUGGGCUUUGAGUAAAGAGGCUGAUAUUCUAGACCUGCUAUCAUUUCACUAUUACCUGAACAAUUUACUUCCUCUUUCUAGCCUUCCAUCUCUUCCUGCAAAAUAAGGCAUGCUUUUCAAUCUCUUCACCAUACAGGAAAAGGAAAUAGAAAUAGAAAUAAAUAAAGCCCACUCCAGGAGCAGUGGCUCACGCCUGCUGUCCCAACACUCUGGGAGGCUGAGGCGGGCGGAUCGCAUGAGCUCAGGAGUUCCAGGCCAGCCUGGGCAACAUAGAGAAACCCCGUCCCUACCAAAAAUAUAAAAAAGUAGCCAGGCAUGGUGGUGUGCACCUGUAGUCCCAGGUACUUGGGAGGCUGAGGUGGAAUGAUCUCUUGAGCCUGGGAAGUGGAGGUUGCAGUGAGCCAAAAUUGCAUCAUUGCACUUCAGCCUGGAUGAUAGAGCAAGACCCCCUGUCAAAAAAGACAAAGAAAGAAAGAAAUAGACAAAGCCCAAUGCUAGCAGUGCUGUGGAACUAACAUCUUAGGAUUGGUGAAGAGAGUGGACAUAGCACUUGUGGAAAGAGCCAUAUUUCCUGGGGGCCAUAAGGCCACAUAUGCCCUGUGAAGACUGACCAGGGAGUGUUGGGCUGCUACCCACAUUUCAUCUAUUUGUCAGGCAAAAAUGCUUUAAAGAUCAUUCCACUUGACUUUCCUUUAAAUAAAAAUCAUGUGGGAAUGGAAUGGAAUUGACGAGUGGCAUGGUGUAUGCUGAAAUUUUUAGAAGCUGCCAGAUUGCUUUCCAUAGUGGUUGUACCAUCUUACAUUCCCACCAGCAGCGUGAGCGUUCCAGUGCCUCCACAUCCUUGCCAACACUUGGCGUGGUCACUCUUUUUAAUCUUAGCCAUUCUAAUAGUUCUGUAGUGGUUUUAUUGUCUUAUUUUCUUAUUGUGGUUUUAUUCUGCAUGUUUUUAUUGAGACAGAGCCUCAUUACGUUGCCCAGGCUGGAGUACAGUGGGCCCAUCAUAGCUCACUUUCUUUUCAGGAAAGUCUUCCCUGAUCUUUCAGUCUAGGUCAGAAGCCCAGUAAUAUACAGUCAUAAGGCCCCAUAUUUAUUCUUUUUGUGAUUUUUUUUGAGAUGGAUUUUUUUUUCACUCCAGACUGGAGUGGAAUGGCACAGUCUUGGCUAAAUGCAAGCUCCACCUCCCGGGUUCAAGCCAUCCUUGUGCCUCAGCCUCCCAAAUAGCUGGGAUUACAGGCAUGAGCCACUAUACCCAUCUAAUUUUUAAAUUUUUGGUAGAGACAGGGUAUUAGCAUGUUGCCCAGGCUGGUCUCGAACUCCUGACUUCAUCAGCUUCCCAAAGUGCUGAGAUUAAAGGUGUGAGCCACCAUGCCUGGCUCAAGUUUGA
This 2690-nucleotide long non-coding RNA is filed under the name Homo sapiens (human). Its description in RNAcentral is "HSALNT0260320". Lineage: Eukaryota; Metazoa; Chordata; Mammalia; Primates; Hominidae. The record is from RNAcentral.